GACGAACGCUGGCGGCGUGCUUAACACAUGCAAGUCGAGCGGUAAGGCCCUUUCGGGGGUACACGAGCGGCGAACGGGUGAGUAACACGUGGGUGACCUGCCUUUAGCUCUGGGAUAAGCCUGGGAAACCGGGUCUAAUACCGGAUAUGACUCCGCGGCGCAUGUUGUGGGGUGGAAAGCCUUGUGCGGCUGGAGAUGGGCCCGCGGCCUAUCAGCUUGUUGGUGGGGUGAUGGCCUACCAAGGCGACGACGGGUAGCCGGCCUGAGAGGGCGACCGGCCACACUGGGACUGAGACACGGCCCAGACUCCUACGGGAGGCAGCAGUGGGAAUCUUGCGCAAUGGGCGAAAGCCUGACGCAGCGACGCCGCGUGAGGGAUGACGGCC
Molecule: ribosomal RNA, 386 nt
Filed under: uncultured bacterium
Lineage: Bacteria
Description: bacterial SSU rRNA
Rfam family: Bacterial small subunit ribosomal RNA
Source: RNAcentral